This 210-nucleotide unclassified non-coding RNA is filed under the name Hevea brasiliensis (rubber tree). The record is from RNAcentral. Lineage: Eukaryota; Viridiplantae; Streptophyta; Magnoliopsida; Malpighiales; Euphorbiaceae.
GGAUGCAAGGAAAUGGUUCAAGGGUCCUGUAAGAAAUAUUGAUGGGCAGCAUGGAGAUACUUAACGUUUUUUUAUCACUGCUAAAGGAUUUAAAAAAUUGGUGGCUAGCCUACUAAAUUGUCAGCUACACUUGGGAUUAGGAUUAAUCCCAAAUUUCAGUUUCAGCAUCAACCUAGACUAGAUACACCCAAUACACAGCCUUUUUGUGUA